This 2062-nucleotide long non-coding RNA is filed under the name Homo sapiens (human). RNAcentral describes it as "EPM2A divergent transcript". Lineage: Eukaryota; Metazoa; Chordata; Mammalia; Primates; Hominidae. The record is from RNAcentral.
GCCCUCUGACCCCGCAGCGUCGUGGCUAGAGUAGGGUCUGGAGAGAGCUCCCACUGUGGCGAGUCCUGUCGUUGGAUUCCCGCGGCGCCCCGUAAGGCUCCGCCCCGGCGGUGCUACCAAACCCUGUUCGAUUUUAGAAUCGUACAUUCCCAGAGGGAAUCCUAGACCCCUCAUUUUACAGUUGAGGAAACAGGCCCAAGUAGCAUGACUUGUUCGCGCCGCUAGUCGAAGGAGCAGCAGCCCCGAUCCCUUGACUCUGGGGCACUGCUUUCCCUUUAGCUCAUUUUUGGAGGAAAUGGGUGCGCCCUUGCUCGACCUUUGGUGAUUGCCGCCACAGGCCUUCCCGCCGGCUAACUCAGCGUGCCCAAGUCCCGUGACUUAGUGCCAGGACGGUGCUGUGACCCGUUAUCCCCUGUCGGGUUUUACCUCCCCCCGGGAGAGCUCAGCCCUGGAUCCCGGCGGGCGGCGGAGCCUCUCUGGAGCCCGGACGGGACAGCCCACCAGGGUCUGCUUCUGUGAGGGGCCGAGGCGUCAUUCCGCGAAGGAAAAGAAGCAUAAGCUGCAAUAAAAAUUUGGUUUCAAGAUAACAAAGUCAGUCCCCAAAAAUCAGUAUUGAGAGUCACUGACAUUAAAUGAUGAAGAUACGAGGAUGGUGUGGGGACCUUUACUCUUCGAAGAUGAGCUAUACAUGCCCCUGAAAAGGCUGUCUGAAGACAGGGGAAGGCUGGAGAUGGCAACUUUGGCCUCUGCCAAGUACUCGUGCUAUUUUCUGUAUGUGAUACUAUCUGUUUUGUAACUCAGAGGCAACACCACAUACCUAGCAUAAGGCUUGAACUCCCUUUGGGGUUAUCAAUUACUUACAUAGCCUUCCUCUAAGGGAAGGCUUGCAAGUGGUUCAUAUUCGACCCUUCCAUGUGAUAAGCAUUCAUGUGGGCUUCACAAUGUAACAGAGGUACACAGAGAUUCUUGUAAACAGAAAAUUUUAUAAAACUGUUAACUGAUCUCACUUUGAAGAAGUCUUACUGACUAGAUGUCAUUUAUCAGAGUAGACAGGCUUAAAAUGCAUUGCUUGUACUAGACUGUUGUAAUGCAUUUUUUUGUUUUUGCAUUGGUUUUUAAUUCAUUUAAUUGGUUUACACUCAUUUUUUUUUUUACAUUCCAUUUUUGCAUUUGUAUGCCAGUUAAAAAUUAUGAAAUGGCACAUUGUGGGAUUUUGUUUAGCUAAAUUCUAGAAAAAUUGAAAGAUACCUUUUAUUCGACUUAAGCCUGAGGUUAUUCAGCACGGUGAUCUCUGCAUUUUUGAAAGGUUGUCUCGUCGUUUAAUAAACGUAAAUAACUUAAGCACAUUGGAAGAGCUAUUAAAUGAGAGCAGGAGAUUAAAAAGACAUGAUUUCUUACUUUAUCCACCUGACAGGAUAGCUUGCAUUGGUGAUUAACCUUGCAUUGUUAAAUUCAUUUCCUAAAUAUUUAGGUAAGUAGUUGGUUUGAUCAUUAUUUGUAAAGUAUUAGUAGUUGCAUGUUGAAUUAUCAUGUUAAGAUUUUUAGUUUGUUGUUCAUGUGAUAUGAAAGAUAACAAUUCCUAAAACUGAAUGCAUGCAUGGCUUAUUCAGCUCAGGUCACAUACAAAGAGAAAUGUGACGCUGCAAUAAACAUAGCAGAGCUAUCUGGGUUUGAAGCAAAAAGGCUAUGACGUUAGGUAUAUGCACUUUACAUUGUAUGUAUCUUUUUAGUUCUAGUGAACUCAUCUGGAAUCAUGUUACAGAAAAUGAUUCUCCAGGUCCAAACACAUUUAAGUUUAAUGACUGGGACUACUCUAACAAUUGCGGCUAUCUCAUUUUGUCUCAUUGGUUCAUUAGCAUAGCACCCAUUUAAGAACAACUACUUCUAAACACAGUAAUAUUUCAGAGGCUAUAAAAUAAUAGAGAAAGAAAACUUAAAAAAUCCUUUGUUUGCAGCCAAGAAAAUGUGAGGAUCAGAUUUGUACUUGUUUUGAACAAUUGGAAACUGUCACAAUUGUUUUUAAGAUGUAAUAAAUGUAUAUAAAAUAUGGGAUUCUAUAGUA